GAUGAACGCUGGCGGCAUGCCUAAUACAUGCAAGUUGAACGGCAGCACAAGUAGCAAUCCUGUGUGGCGAUUGGCGCACGGGUGCGUAACACAUAUGCAUCCUACCCUAUACAGGCUAAUAACCUUUAGGAAUGACGGCUAUUACGCCGUAGUAUUACUUGUGCCCAUCUGUUUGUAAGUAAAAGUUUGUCUUUAUAUCAUGUGCAUACGUCCCAUUAGUUAGUUGGUAAGUUAACGGCUUACCAACACACUGAUGGGUAGCGGAUCUGAGAGGACGUACCCCCACAAUGGUAAUGCGGCACGGACCCGAAUCGUACGGGAGGCAGAAGUAAGGAAGACUGGGGAAGGGCAGCGAGGCUGACCAAGCCAUGCCGAGUGAAGGAAGACGGCCUUAUGGGUAGUAAACUGCUUUUAUAAGGGAAUAAUAGAGUGUACGCGUACAUUUAUGCAAGUAUCGUAUGAAUAAGCACCGGCUAACUCCGUG
This 484-nucleotide ribosomal RNA is filed under the name uncultured bacterium. RNAcentral describes it as "partial 16S ribosomal RNA". It matches the Rfam family "Bacterial small subunit ribosomal RNA", at positions 28 to 507 of the family's 1533-position model. The record is from RNAcentral.